AUACGGAGGAUGCGAGCGUUAUCCGGAUUUAUUGGGUUUAAAGGGAGCGUAGGUGGGAUAUUAAGUCAGCUGUGAAAGUUUGGGGCUCAACCUUAAAAUUGCAGUUGAUACUGGUUUCCUUGAGUACGGUACAGGUGGGCGGAAUUCGUGGUGUAGCGGUGAAAUGCUUAGAUACCACGAAGAACUCCGAUCGCGAAGGCAGCUCACCGGGCCGGAACUGACACUGAUGCUCGAAAGUGCGGGUAUCAAACAGGAUUAGAUACCCUGGUAGUCCGCACAGUAAACGAUGAAUACUCGCUGUUUGCGAUACACGGUAAGCGGCCAAGCGAAAGCGUUAAGUAUUCCACCUGGGGAGUACGCCGGCAACGGUGAAACUCAAAUGAAUUGACGGGG
Molecule: ribosomal RNA, 393 nt
Filed under: uncultured bacterium
Lineage: Bacteria
Description: partial 16S ribosomal RNA
Rfam family: Bacterial small subunit ribosomal RNA
Source: RNAcentral